GCUGGCGCGUGCAUAAGGCAUGCAAGCCGAACGGACUUUUUAUUUCUGGAGAUUGAGAUUACAUCAAGGUCAAAGGUCGUUUAAAGUUAGUGGCAGACGAGGUAGUAAUACAUAGGAAUGUACCCCUUAGUCGUGAACAACUCAUCGAAAGAUGGGCUAAUACACGAUAGUCUCUCCGGAGUAAAGUUUUUCGCUAAGGGAACAGCCUAUGGGGUAUCAGCUAGAUGGUAGGGUAACGGCCUACCAUGGCUAUGACGCCUAGGGGAGGUGAGAGCCUGGCCCCCACCGAUGGGACUGAGACACGGCCCAUACACCUACGGGUGGCUGCAGUCGAGAAUCUUCCGCAAUGGACGCAGGUCUGACGGAGCGACGCCGCGUGGUUGAUGAAGUGGUUCGCCAUGUAAAAACCUUUUAUGAGGGAAGAAGUUUAUUGACGGUACCUCAUGAAUAAGGGGCUCCUAAUCUCGUGCCAGCAGGAGCGGUAAUACGAGAGCCCCGAGCGUUAUCCGGAAUUAUUGGGCGUAAAGUGUGCGUAGGCGGCUAUGUUAGUCGUUUUUCAAAUCUAUCGGCUCAACCGGUAAACUGGAAACGAAACGGCAUUGGCUAGAGGCUGUAAGAGGUAUGUGGAACUCAUGGUGUAGGGGUGAAAUCCGUUGAUAUCAUGGGGAACACCAAAAGCGAAGGCAACAUACUGGUACAGAUCUGACGCUGAGGCACGAAAGCGUGGGUAGCGAAUGGGAUUAGAUACCCCAGUAGUCCACGCCCUAAACGAUG
Molecule: ribosomal RNA, 774 nt
Filed under: uncultured bacterium
Lineage: Bacteria
Description: bacterial SSU rRNA
Rfam family: Bacterial small subunit ribosomal RNA
Source: RNAcentral